This 545-nucleotide ribosomal RNA is filed under the name Modestobacter sp. RNAcentral's name for it is "bacterial SSU rRNA". It matches the Rfam family "Bacterial small subunit ribosomal RNA", at positions 158 to 716 of the family's 1533-position model. The record is from RNAcentral. Lineage: Bacteria; Bacillati; Actinomycetota; Actinomycetes; Geodermatophilales; Geodermatophilaceae.
UGGUGCUAAUACCGGAUGUGACCGCUGACCGCAUGGUCUGGUGGUGGAAAGAUUCAUCGGCUGAGGAUGGGCCCGCGGCCUAUCAGCUUGUUGGUGGGGUGAUGGCCUACCAAGGCGACGACGGGUAGCCGGCCUGAGAGGGUGACCGGCCACACUGGGACUGAGACACGGCCCAGACUCCUACGGGAGGCAGCAGUGGGGAAUAUUGCGCAAUGGGCGAAAGCCUGACGCAGCGACGCCGCGUGAGGGAUGACGGCCUUCGGGUUGUAAACCUCUUUCAGUAGGGACGAAGCGCAAGUGACGGUACCUACAGAAGAAGCACCGGCCAACUACGUGCCAGCAGCCGCGGUAAUACGUAGGGUGCAAGCGUUGUCCGGAAUUAUUGGGCGUAAAGAGCUCGUAGGCGGUCUGUCACGUCGGCUGUGAAAACCCGAGGCUCAACCUCGGGCCUGCAGUCGAUACGGGCAAACUAGAGUACUGCAGGGGAGACUGGAAUUCCUGGUGUAGCGGUGAAAUGCGCAGAUAUCAGGAGGAACACCGGUGGC